This 1052-nucleotide long non-coding RNA is filed under the name Citrus maxima (pomelo). RNAcentral's name for it is "long non-coding RNA (CMAX_LNC000032)". Lineage: Eukaryota; Viridiplantae; Streptophyta; Magnoliopsida; Sapindales; Rutaceae. The record is from RNAcentral.
ACACAAGCUUGAAUCUGACAGAAAAGACAAGCUCGCUGCUGAGCUCGGACUCGAUCCUCGUCAAGUGGCCGUGUGGUUUCAGAACCGGAGGGCUCGUGAUAAGACUAAGAAGAUUGAGGAGACCUACGCUACCUUGAAGACCGCUCAUGAAAAUGUCGUCGUGGAGAAAACCCGACUCGAGUCUGAGGUAUAUUAGCUUUCUUGUUUCUAAUUAUAAUGUUAAUUCACAUCAACGAUUUAUUUAUUUGUUUGUUUAAUUCAAUAUUGACACAUUUCAUUUUCUUACUCAACAUGCAAGUAGUAUACCUUGCCGCUAACCAUUCCCGCAAUUUAUGACUGACUUUGAGUUAUUUUAAAGAAAAUGAAUCUGAGUUGAAACGUCUUAAUUGUUUCUUAUCCUCUAUAAAAGGACAAAAGUACCAAAGAUAUUUGAUUGUGAAUGAGCUCUGGGCUCGAAGAAAGCCAUCCCAUGCUUAUUUAUUUUUAACUUUUUUUUUUAAUAAAUAUUUAUUUUUAACUAAGAACAGGAUACUACUUUUAUACUUGCCACCUCACUUUUGACGGCAAAAGCCACCAAAAUGAUACAUGUUCAUAACUUGGUAUUGAUUGAUAAUAAUAAUAACACGGUGAGCAUUACGUUAGUCUUUACAACGUUGUUAAAAGUGGUUAGUUUUGGGCUUGAUUAUGGCCUACCCUGGGGAGCAGCAAAAAGAAGGAACUUACGCCCACGUGACCUUGGAAACUUUUUUUCUUUUCAGCAACUUCCUGUUCUUGAUAUUGUUUAACAAGCGAUUUGACUUGAUUUGCAGGUGACAACGCUGAAAGAGAAGCUUUCAGUUGCCGAGAAGGAGAUUAAGAAAAUGUCAGAGCUCAUUGAAGGGAUUUCACUCAAUAAUCCGAGUGCCACGAUCCCAACGGACAUGGACACCGUGGACUCACCGUUUACCCUGGACCCUUUUGCUGGUAAUCUUGGGUGGUUUGAUUAUGAGGAUCUCCUCUACUUGCUUCAACAGAAUUACAUUUCUGCUGCCGAGUGGCUCUUACUCCACACC